GAUCAUUACAGUGUUGGUGAAAAGAGACAAAACGGCCGCUUUUGGACGCGACGCGCCCGAGCCCUCUCCAGGGAGGGCGGCCGUCUGUUUCUGACCACCCAAACAACCACCCCACCCCUGCUUAAUACGCACCUCUUGUUUCCUCGGCGGGCCCGCCCGCCGCAGGACCCCUUUUGGAAACGCUUUUGCAAACCACGCAGUCGUUCGUCUGAGCGGAGUUUAUACACGCAAUCAAAUUAAAACUUUCAACAACGGAUCUCUUGGUUCUGGCAUCGAUGAAGAACGCAGCGAAAUGCGAUAAGUAGUGUGAAUUGCAGAAUUCAGUGAAUCAUCGAAUCUUUGAACGCACAUUGCGCCCUUUGGCAUUCCGAAGGGCAUGCCUGUUCGAGCGUCAUUGCAACCCCUCCAGCAGCCUCUUGCUGGGCGUUGGGCGUCUUUGUGGCUGCGGCCACUCGCCUGAAAAGCAUCGGCGCCGGCGCGUCGGCCCUGCGCGUAGCACAUUGUUCGCGCCUGGGACCCCGUCGCGGCGGCCGCCGUCAACGCAGCGCAGCACGCACUGCUGCCUCCAUGACUUGACCUCGGAUCAGGUAGGGAUACCCGCUGAACUUAAGCAUAUCAAUAAGCGGAGGAAAAGAAACCAACAGGGAUUGCCCCAGUAACGGCGAGUGAAGCGGCAACAGCUCAAAUUUGAAAGCUGGCUCUCGGGCCCGCGUUGUAAUUUGCAGAGGGCACUUCGGCGGCGGCGCCGGCCUAAGUUCCUUGGAACAGGGCGUCAGAGAGGGUGAGAACCCCGUUCGCGGCCGGGCGGCCGCCGCCAUGUGAAGGCUCUUCGACGAGUCGAGUUGUUUGGGAAUGCAGCUCUAAAUGGGAGGUAUAUUUCUUCUAAAGCUAAAUACCGGCCAGAGACCGAUAGCGCACAAGUAGAGUGAUCGAAAGAUGAAAAGCACUUUGGAAAGAGAGUCAAACAGCACGUGAAAUUGUUGAAAGGGAAGCGCUUGCAACCAGACGUGCCCGCGGGCGCUCAGCCGCGCCUUGUGCGCGGCGCGCUCGCCCGCGGAGCAGGCCAGCAUCGGUUGGGGCGGCUGGACAAAGGCGCCGGGAACGUGGCCCCCCUCCGGGGGGGUGUUAUAGCCCGGCGCGCCAUGCAGCCAGCCCCGACCGAGGUCCGC
RNAcentral lists this ribosomal RNA (1169 nucleotides) under Dothideomycetes sp. genotype 351. RNAcentral describes it as "eukaryotic LSU rRNA". The stretch from base 574 to 1169 matches the Rfam family "Eukaryotic large subunit ribosomal RNA", at positions 1 to 493 of the family's 3401-position model. Lineage: Eukaryota; Fungi; Ascomycota; Dothideomycetes. The record is from RNAcentral.